This 270-nucleotide long non-coding RNA is filed under the name Elaeis guineensis (African oil palm). Its description in RNAcentral is "long non-coding RNA (EGUI_LNC061536)". The record is from RNAcentral. Lineage: Eukaryota; Viridiplantae; Streptophyta; Magnoliopsida; Arecales; Arecaceae.
UGGCAAGUCGCGACAACAGAUACCACUCCACUCCCCGCAACAGGCUCCACGUGGCAGGCCACGGUGAUGGCCACGAUUCUACUCCACUACUCUUCAUAACAAACUCCUCCUGGCCCCGAACGGCCUGCUGCCAGACAGUUACAAACAUCGCUAUCAGUAUGUUGCACCCUCUGCCUAUAAAAAGGGGACCCCAGAUACGUUAUUCUCUAAGCUCUAAUUUUUAUCUCAAAACUCUGCUAAAAUUUUCGUUCGAGCACUCCAUUCUUGUUG